RNAcentral lists this ribosomal RNA (1017 nucleotides) under uncultured organism. Its description in RNAcentral is "bacterial SSU rRNA". It matches the Rfam family "Bacterial small subunit ribosomal RNA", at positions 356 to 1376 of the family's 1533-position model. The record is from RNAcentral.
GAGGAAUAUUGGUCAAUGGACGAGAGUCUGAACCAGCCAAGUAGCGUGAAGGAUGACUGCCCUAUGGGUUGUAAACUUCUUUUAUACGGGAAUAAAGUGAGGCACGUGUGCCUUUUUGUAUGUACCGUAUGAAUAAGGAUCGGCUAACUCCGUGCCAGCAGCCGCGGUAAUACGGAGGAUCCGAGCGUUAUCCGGAUUUAUUGGGUUUAAAGGGAGCGUAGGCGGACGCUUAAGUCAGUUGUGAAAGUUUGCGGCUCAACCGUAAAAUUGCAGUUGAUACUGGGUGUCUUGAGUACAGUAGAGGCAGGCGGAAUUCGUGGUGUAGCGGUGAAAUGCUUAGAUAUCACGAAGAACUCCGAUUGCGAAGGCAGCCUGCUGGACUGUAACUGACGCUGAUGCUCGAAAGUGUGGGUAUCAAACAGGAUUAGAUACCCUGGUAGUCCACACAGUAAACGAUGAAUACUCGCUGUUGGCGAUAUACGGUCAGCGGCCAAGCGAAAGCAUUAAGUAUUCCACCUGGGGAGUACGCCGGCAACGGUGAAACUCAAAGGAAUUGACGGGGGCCCGCACAAGCGGAGGAACAUGUGGUUUAAUUCGAUGAUACGCGAGGAACCUUACCCGGGCUUAAAUUGCAACUGACUGAACCGGAAACGGUUCUUUCUUCGGACAGUUGUGAAGGUGCUGCAUGGUUGUCGUCAGCUCGUGCCGUGAGGUGUCGGCUUAAGUGCCAUAACGAGCGCAACCCUUAUCGAUAGUUACUAGCAGGUCAUGCUGAGGACUCUAUUGAGACUGCCGUCGUAAGAUGUGAGGAAGGUGGGGAUGACGUCAAAUCAGCACGGCCCUUACGUCCGGGGCUACACACGUGUUACAAUGGGGGGUACAGAAGGCAGCUACACGGCGACGUGGUGCUAAUCCCGAAAGCCUCUCUCAGUUCGGAUUGGAGUCUGCAACCCGACUCCAUGAAGCUGGAUUCGCUAGUAAUCGCGCAUCAGCCACGGCGCGGUGAAUACGUUCCCG